RNAcentral lists this ribosomal RNA (433 nucleotides) under uncultured bacterium. RNAcentral describes it as "partial 16S ribosomal RNA". It matches the Rfam family "Bacterial small subunit ribosomal RNA", at positions 29 to 507 of the family's 1533-position model. The record is from RNAcentral.
AACGAACGCUGGCGGCAUGCCUAACACAUGCAAGUCGAACGAGACCUUCGGGUCUAGUGGCGCACGGGUGCGUAACGCGUGGGAACCUGCCCUUAGGUUCGGAAUAACUCCCCGAAAGGGGUGCUAAUACCGGAUAAUGUCUUCGGACCAAAGAUUUAUCGCCUUUGGAUGGGCCCGCGUUGGAUUAGCUGGUUGGUAGGGUAAAAGCCUACCAAGGCGACGAUCCAUAGCUGGUCUGAGAGGAUGAUCAGCCACACUGGGACUGAGACACGGCCCAGACUCCUACGGGAGGCAGCAGUGGGGAAUAUUGGGCGAGGGGCGAAAGCCUGAUCCAGCAAUGCCGCGUGAGUGAUGAAGGCCUUAGGGUUGUAAAGCUCUUUUACCCGGGAUGAUAAUGACAGUACCGGGAGAAUAAGCUCCGGCUAACUCCGUG